GAAGUCGUUACUCCAACCCUUGUGGAGGAGGACGCCGAAGGUGGGGCUAAUGACUGGGGUGAAGUCGUAACAAGGUAGCCGUACCGGAAGGUGCGGCUGGAUCACCUCCUAACAGGGAGACAACAAAAUGUAAAUAUUAAUUUUGUCACCUUAGGUCGAUCGGUAUCUCAGAUUCUUAUUUUUUAAGAAUUUCAGUUUCUAAGUUUUUUCUAGGUCACACCCAUCACUUUUUCCUGGGCCAUUAGCUCAGGUGGUUAGAGCGCACCCCUGAUAAGGGUGAGGUCCCUGGUUCAAGUCCAGGAUGGCCCAUAUCUCUAUGUUGGGGGUAUAGCUCAGUUGGUAGAGCGCCUGCUUUGCAAGCAGGAUGUCAGCGGUUCGAGUCCGCUUACCUCCACUGAAUACCACCUCUUACAUGUAUCAAAGACGGAAAUUGUUUUGAGUCGUGUCCUAAUUUGCUCUGAGCGAAUCUAGCUUCCUAUUUUAUUCAAUAAAUAAGAUGCUGGACUCAUUGAAUUUUUUCAUUGUUUUCAGAGAACCUUGACAACUGCAUAGAUUAUUUUUGAAGACAAUAAGCAUCUUUAAUGAUGCAGAUUUAUUAUUUGUGCGAAUGCAUUAAAUAACAAUUCUAUUAAGCUGAUGCUUCAAUUAUUGAAGUUAUUGGUCAAGCUACAAAGGGCUCACGGAGGAU
RNAcentral lists this unclassified non-coding RNA (688 nucleotides) under uncultured marine bacterium. Its description in RNAcentral is "partial contains 16S ribosomal RNA, 16S-23S ribosomal RNA intergenic spacer, and 23S ribosomal RNA". The stretch from base 1 to 112 matches the Rfam family "Bacterial small subunit ribosomal RNA", at positions 1423 to 1533 of the family's 1533-position model. The record is from RNAcentral.